RNAcentral lists this long non-coding RNA (1010 nucleotides) under Phascolarctos cinereus (koala). RNAcentral describes it as "lncRNA (ENSPCIG00000035312.1)". The record is from RNAcentral. Lineage: Eukaryota; Metazoa; Chordata; Mammalia; Diprotodontia; Phascolarctidae.
CCUUCGAGCCGCGACCCAUUUCUUUCUCGGGACUCCAUCUCCCGAGCCCGGUACUUAAGCGGUGUCGCCGGUCUCCGCGGCUCCUGAAUCCCGCAGCUUCAGGGCGGAUCGUGGCUGGCUGGCCACCCCCCGCAGGGCCGCGUGGGAGUGGGCUCUCCUCGACCCUUUGUUCUCCCUCCUGACGCAGCAGCCGCAAGGAGGAUGGCCAUGUCGCUUGGAGCCUGUCAUGACUGUAGAGUCAGGGCUUCCGUAUAAAGUCUGAGUUUCUUCUCUCUGAUCCCAGAAGUAUCUGAGGCUGCUCCAGAGUUAUUGACAACCUCUCAUCUGUGCCUUCUCAAGGCUCUGUCCUUCUUCCAAGACAGAGCAUAGUGGAAGAAGAGGAGGGAAUGAUCCCUGGGCUUCUAACAGCCAGGUCUCGGGUAAGUUAGGGGUUUUUCCUCUCCUGAAAUAUUCUCAGUUCUCAGAGUACGGCUGCUUUUUGUUCUGUUCUCCUUGGUCUUUCCUGCCCAUCCAAAUUCUGUACAGAGACCUGAACCCUAAUUGCUUUCUCUAAGAAGGCAGCAUAUUUCGGCAAAUGAAGUAGUUAUUUGUAAGAGUUAAAGGGAACAUUAGAGAUUAUCUCGUACGACCUCCUUAUUUGGGCCCUUGACAUGAAGUGAUGGGCUCAGUAUUUCCAGAGGUUGGAUUUGGACUAGGUUUCUCAACCUCCAGUUCUGUACUUUUUCCACUAAACCACAGGACUCUGUAGAAAAUGCCCGUCAUUGUCUCCUUUAAUGUUCUUCCUCAGUAUCCCUCUCCUCUCUACGUGAGUUGGUUAUUCAUUGAAGCAUUAUAGCAGAGCAGAAAGAGGGCUGGAUUUGGAGUGGGCGAAGAUCUAGACUUGCCAUAGGCUUCAUUUGACUUUUUGGAUUAUGUUUGCCCGUUUGUAAAAUGGGGAUAAUACUAUUCCUAAUGUUUACAGUACUGGUUCACCCCAUUAGUUCAAAUAAUAAAGCCCCCUGAAGUGGUCA